This 60-nucleotide transfer RNA is filed under the name Ptilonyssus chloris. RNAcentral's name for it is "tRNA-Gly". The record is from RNAcentral. Lineage: Eukaryota; Metazoa; Arthropoda; Arachnida; Mesostigmata; Rhinonyssidae.
ACUUUAUUAGUAUAUUAAGUACAAUUAACUUCCAAUUAAUAAGUUUUAUUAAAUAAAGUA